This 254-nucleotide ribosomal RNA is filed under the name uncultured bacterium. RNAcentral's name for it is "partial 16S ribosomal RNA". It matches the Rfam family "Bacterial small subunit ribosomal RNA", at positions 526 to 779 of the family's 1533-position model. The record is from RNAcentral.
CGUAGGGGCGAGCGUUAUCCGGAAUUAUUGGGGCGUAAAGCGCGCGCAGGCGGUCAUUUAAGUCAGGUGUGAAAGGCUGCGGCUCAACCGCAGAGCGGCACCUGAAACUGGAUGACUUGAGUGCAGGAGAGGAGAGCGGAAUUCCCGGUGUAGCGGUGGAAUGCGUAGAGAUCGGGAGGAACACCAGUGGCGAAGGCGGCUCUCUGGCCUGUUUCUGACGCUGAGGCGCGAAAGCGUGGGGAGCAAACAGGAUU